Molecule: transfer RNA, 537 nt
Filed under: uncultured cyanobacterium
Lineage: Bacteria; Bacillati; Cyanobacteriota
Description: partial 16S-23S ribosomal RNA intergenic spacer
Rfam family: tRNA (bases 210-282)
Source: RNAcentral
CAGGGAGACAACAAAAUGUUUAAUAUUAUUAUUUUGUCACCUUAGGUCGAUCGGUAUCUCACAUUCUUAAUUUUUAAGGAUUUCUUUUCCUAAGUUUUUCUAGGUCACACCCAUUAUUUUCCUGGGCCAUUAGCUCAGGUGGUUAGAGCGCACCCCUGAUAAGGGUGAGGUCCCUGGUUCAAGUCCAGGAUGGCCCAUAUCUCUAUGCUGGGGGUAUAGCUCAGUUGGUAGAGCGCCUGCUUUGCAAGCAGGAUGUCAGCGGUUCGAGUCCGCUUACCUCCACUGAUUACCACCUCUUCCAUAAUUUAUAGAAGGGAAAUAAUUGGUUUGUGAUCAAAUCCUGAACGAAUCUAGCUUCCUAAUUAAAUAUUAAGAUGCUGGAUUCAUUGAAUUAAUUUCAUUGUUUUCAGAGAACCUUGACAACUGCAUAGAUUAUUUUUAAAGACAAUAAGCAUCUUUAAUGAUGCAGAUUUAUUAUUAUUGCAAUUGCAUUAGUAACAAUUCUAUUAAGCUGAUGCUUCAAUUUUUGAAGUUAUU